GUGAAAACAUACAGUGAAGUCUAAACCCUCCAUCCAAGCAGCCAUUGUAGGAAAUGUUUCUGUUGGAAAAGAUGGUAACAUAUGAAAAUAUUCCUAAAUCUCAUUUUUCCUCUGAAGCAUUACUUAACCCUCAGGCAAUAAAUUUCACUGAACUCACUGAAGUGAGAAAUGGACCUUUUUAAUAAGGCUUUUAACUACACAUCUUAAUGAAACUUAAACAAAUGGUGUCCCUGCCACUAUGUUGGCUGCAUGUGUGUUUAUGUAUACUAUGUAAGAAGCAUACAUAUUUUUCAUGUUUAGAGAUUUACUGUUCUAUGGUAAUUUUCAAACAGCACUGGAAAAUAAACAGACAAUUCUUUCUUUUUAAUAACUGCAGUUUGCCAGCUUUCUUCUUUACCUGAGUAAUGACCACCAGGAGGGGCUUCACAGCAGCUUGUUUUGUUCCUAGAUCCAGAAAAAUAUGUGCAUUUGCCUACAAGGACAGUGUGCAUUUUAAGAGCCAGCUGUUACCAGGACUGCAAGCAUUCCUGUUGUUUGUUUUUGGAGGAGCCCUGUGUGGUUGUGUCGAAGCCCAGACGAUGUACAAAUUCGCCAGUGGUCACUGUGAAGAACACCAUGAUAUUUUAAAGAAAGUGUCUGGUUACUGGACACUUGUGUCUCAUUGGUGAAAAAAAAUGGGAAAGUAAAACCUGGCAAACUAGACCCAGAG
RNAcentral lists this long non-coding RNA (709 nucleotides) under Junco hyemalis (dark-eyed junco). RNAcentral describes it as "lncRNA (ENSJHYG00000017721.1)". The record is from RNAcentral. Lineage: Eukaryota; Metazoa; Chordata; Aves; Passeriformes; Passerellidae.